RNAcentral lists this ribosomal RNA (834 nucleotides) under Limosilactobacillus fermentum. RNAcentral's name for it is "bacterial SSU rRNA". It matches the Rfam family "Bacterial small subunit ribosomal RNA", at positions 56 to 845 of the family's 1533-position model. Lineage: Bacteria; Bacillati; Bacillota; Bacilli; Lactobacillales; Lactobacillaceae. The record is from RNAcentral.
UGCAAGUCGAACGCGUUGGCCCAAUUGAUUGAUGGUGCUUGCACCUGAUUGAUUUUGGUCGCCAACGAGUGGCGGACGGGUGAGUAACACGUAGGUAACCUGCCCAGAAGCGGGGGACAACAUUUGGAAACAGAUGCUAAUACCGCAUAACAACGUUGUUCGCAUGAACAACGCUUAAAAGAUGGCUUCUCGCUAUCACUUCUGGAUGGACCUGCGGUGCAUUAGCUUGUUGGUGGGGUAACGGCCUACCAAGGCGAUGAUGCAUAGCCGAGUUGAGAGACUGAUCGGCCACAAUGGGACUGAGACACGGCCCAUACUCCUACGGGAGGCAGCAGUAGGGAAUCUUCCACAAUGGGCGCAAGCCUGAUGGAGCAACACCGCGUGAGUGAAGAAGGGUUUCGGCUCGUAAAGCUCUGUUGUUAAAGAAGAACACGUAUGAGAKUAACUGUUCAUACGUUGACGGUAUUUAACCAGAAAGUCACGGCUAACUACGUGCCAGCAGCCGCGGUAAUACGUAGGUGGCAAGCGUUAUCCGGAUUUAUUGGGCGUAAAGAGAGUGCAGGCGGUUUUCUAAGUCUGAUGUGAAAGCCUUCGGCUUAACCGGAGAAGUGCAUCGGAAACUGGAUAACUUGAGUGCAGAAGAGGGUAGUGGAACUCCAUGUGUAGCGGUGGAAUGCGUAGAUAUAUGGAAGAACACCAGUGGCGAAGGCGGCUACCUGGUCUGCAACUGACGCUGAGACUCGAAAGCAUGGGUAGCGAACAGGAUUAGAUACCCUGGUAGUCCAUGCCGUAAACGAUGAGUGCUAGGUGUUGGAGGGUUUCCGCCCUUCAGUG